GAUGAACGCUGGCGGCGUGCCUAAUACAUGCAAGUCGAGCGAACGGACGAGAAGCUUGCUUCUCUGAUGUUAGCGGCGGACGGGUGAGUAACACGUGGAUAACCUACCUAUAAGACUGGGAUAACUUCGGGAAACCGUAGCUAAUACCGGAUAAUAUUUUGAACCGCAUGGUUCAAAAGUGAAAGACGGUCUUGCUGUCACUUAUAGAUGGAUCCGCGCUGCAUUAUCUAGUUGGUAGGGUAACGGCUUACCAAGGCAACGAUGCAUAGCCGACCUGAGAGGGUGAUGGGCCACACUGAAGCUGAGACGCGGUACAGGCUCCUACGGGAGGCAGCGGUAGGGAAUCUUCCGCAAUGGGCGAAAGCCUGACGGAGCGACGGCGCGUGAGUGAUGAAGGUCUGCGGAUCGUAAAACUCUGUUAUUAGGGAAGAACAUAUGUGUAAGUAACUGUGCACAUCUGGACGGUACCUAAUCAGAAAGCCACGGCUAACUACGU
This 496-nucleotide ribosomal RNA is filed under the name uncultured bacterium. Its description in RNAcentral is "partial 16S ribosomal RNA". It matches the Rfam family "Bacterial small subunit ribosomal RNA", at positions 28 to 506 of the family's 1533-position model. The record is from RNAcentral.